UGGUUGUUGGAUGGAUCAGGAUGAGCAGUUAUUCCAUGCUUUUAUCUCCAUCCUCUUGCUUAUCUUUAGUAUAAUCAAGUUCCUAAAGAAUAGAAUCCUAGAGCGGAGAGUGGUUCCUGGAGACGAUCUGCUGGAGGUGAUCUGCUGCACCGUCUGUGGGCGAUGCCUGGGUUAUCACAGGCAGGUGACGGCUAAGCUUUUCCUAUUAACUGCAUUCUCACGGCGAGACAAAUUCUUCAUGUAGAAAGAUGAUUUGGCUGUUGAGAGAUGAGAGUGGACAUAGUGUCUGUCAUCUGCCCUAUGAUGUUGAACACCUGCCAUGUGCACACACUGUCCUAGGGACAAAGUCCUCUGCUUACACAGCUUACCCUCCACGGUGAGAGUGGAAAAAACAAACAAACAAAAAAACAAAUUGGGGAAGGACUGGCCCACAAAUAAUGCUUGACCUUAGAAGAUAUCCCAAGCCCUGGGUUGGGAGAGUUGUAUGAAAUAUUUAUUUUGUAAUGAAUUAAACUUUUACUGCAAUAGAUAACUGGAAGGAAAAGUUCUAUUGUCAGACAAGACACCUGUGCUCUGUUAUUGAAAUAAGGAAAUUAAAGCUAAUGGCACUGAAGGGGAAAUAAUAAAAAUGCUUUUCUGGUCACAUGUUAUUAACCAUAAUAAAAUAAAUAGAAG
This 675-nucleotide long non-coding RNA is filed under the name Chinchilla lanigera (long-tailed chinchilla). RNAcentral describes it as "lncRNA (ENSCLAG00000024840.1)". The record is from RNAcentral. Lineage: Eukaryota; Metazoa; Chordata; Mammalia; Rodentia; Chinchillidae.